UUAUGUCAUUUGAGAAAUUAUGAUUUUUACAAAUUUGCGCAGCAUUUUACGUCCUCGUUGGACGUUUCCCAUGCUCUGAAAGUAAAGUGGAAGAUCCGCCAGACUGCAGCAGCGACAGCUGGCGGGACUAGGACAGUAUGGCUUCCUCAUCGUCUGUGGGGUCCAAUAACCAGGGUGACAGCUUUGGUGAGCAUUAGGGAGUCUUCUGCUGUUGAAGAUAGGCCAACACCUCCACAUUGCCACUAAAACCAGGCUGGGGAGAGUCUUUCAGCCCAACGUCAAAUCUGCAAUUCCAAAGCCGCAUCCUAGUUAUCACAUCUCCAUGUACAGUAGAAGAAGCUCUCUCAUCAGGAGAAAGCAGCCCCUAUUUCAGUUGAGAGCUGUGGAAAAUAAAGAAGUAGGUCUCACCAAAGACCCAUAAACUGCCAACAGAAAUAGAGUUGCAAGACGGAGAGGAAAUGAGCAAGGAUCCAUCUUCAACGCACCGCAGAGAAACAGCUGUUACAGUGGAGGAGUGCUCAUCUCUUCUUCACCUUCACAGUCCCAGGAUGUUUGUUGAACCACAGCACAGAUGGGACACAUUGAUGACUAAGCUUAAAAUUAGCAGCUAAAAUAAAA
Long non-coding RNA from Girardinichthys multiradiatus, 618 nucleotides. RefSeq lists it as uncharacterized. The transcript has 4 exons. The record is from RefSeq and is a predicted model, not a curated record. Lineage: Eukaryota; Metazoa; Chordata; Actinopteri; Cyprinodontiformes; Goodeidae.